GACCUGAUAGCACAGCUGGUAGUGCAUCUACUGAAAGUAAAGAAAUUGCUGUGGGCUUAAGCAGAAGACCUUCGUUCGAUUCGGGGUCAGGUCA
Molecule: non-coding RNA, 94 nt
Organism: Mycena metata
Lineage: Eukaryota; Fungi; Basidiomycota; Agaricomycetes; Agaricales; Mycenaceae
Source: the annotation of a GenBank genome assembly